GCGUUUUUUUUUUUUAUUCUUUAUUUUUGCCCCGACAGAGAGCAACAUAUGCACAGUACAAAGUGGCUUACACAGAAGCCCAGUUCCAUAUAAAUUGUGAUCAACAAUGUGUCAUUGAGGUAUAGGAAGAUGGGUUAAAUGCAUACAUUACAACAAUUAUUCUUGUACAUGUUCACAAUCCGCCAGCUUUUGUUCAAAAAGAAAAAGAAAGUACAUUCAGAAAAAUAAUAACUUAAUGAAGAUAACCUAACUUUUUUUUGUAAAUCUUUCUUUUAUUGAAGGCAUAUAAGAUGGGGUACAUAAGAAAAGCAGGGGAAAUGUACGAGUGAUUUUACAGCUUAGGUACAUCAUUUAGCAAUUUUGAGUUACAUUUCCAGAAUAGCAAUGCCUCAUUUUUAAAAUUUUUGUUGUUAAACUAUAUGUUGAAGAUACAUAAGGUCCUGUUGAUUAAAGGCACAAUAAGUGGAUCAACUGAUUAUAAAUCAAGCAGAGGUAACAUUAACCUGAGUUGUGCAAGCUGAUUGAUUAGAUGCAUGCCUACUGAGUGUGUUAAGAGAUUUAAAUGAUAUGCUAUACCAGAGGGUUCAAUAUAUUAACAUGCUGGGCUUAAACAGUAUACUACAUAUAUAGAAAAUGAUAGGCGCACAGUCUCGUGUCUAGAUAUUCUAAAACAGUUGCUUUGCUGGAUGUGUGUCAUUGACUCAAUGCAGAACUAACUGUAUAACUAAACAAAUAGAUAUAGGAGAUAAACAGUUCUUAAGCUAUGCAAUUGAGUUUAACUGGGUCAGUAAUUAAGAAAGCGCAACAGGUUGCAUAGAUGGUACAAGUGGGCUGCGACAAAGGUAACCAUUUAAAGCAUAGAGUUGCGUUCUGUAUAGAGGGGACCUAAAGAAAUAAGGAAGGUGAGAGGAGAGAGUUAAACAGUGCAGCGUGUCCGCAAAUCAGUCCCGCUCAGCCCUUGCCGGUUCGCGGCAUGUUGUCAUCAGGAGUGAGAGGGGAGAAGGUGUCGGAAUGGCAGUUGCGGGGUGAGGACCCUCUCCAGCCCCAGGCCCACAUAGAGGGUGGCAUCGUCUGACCACUGGCUCGAUGGCUCUGUGAGUUUGAGGCAUACCCAUAUCGAGUGCCAGCGGCGGGCAUUCCUUCUGCAUGGUGGUCGAUGCUGUGGAGACAGUUUCCUCCUGGCCCCUAGCCUGGGCGGGCUGUGUGCUUGCGUGGUUAGCUUGGGGAUAGUCGCUGUGCCCAGAGUGGGGUGCCUCUUCCACCCGUUCCCCGCUGCAUUUUUGCGGUCUGGCUGCCCUUUCGGUGGUACCUUUCUCUGUACUCCGUGGAGUCGGUUCAGUCUGUUCUUAUCUGGGUGGGGUGGCUGAUUUGCCGUCGGUGCUUACAGCCUUUUUCCCAGCCUGUGCCAGAAUCGGGCAAAAGCUGCAUCUAAACGCUGCUGUAUGUUGCUGUGAUCCUCUAUCUCAGGUAGGCGUUUCAGCUCGUGUGGUGCACUGAAGAUAACCUAACUUAACUAUGAAUCUUCCCUCUCUGGCUCCAAGAUUUUGAAGGUGGCAUUCUAAGGAGUGCGCCCAGGAGGCCGGACCUGUGCAAGCCCCCGGGAAUACGUAUUGUUUUGUGAUAG
Molecule: non-coding RNA, 1624 nt
Organism: Pelobates cultripes (western spadefoot toad)
Lineage: Eukaryota; Metazoa; Chordata; Amphibia; Anura; Pelobatidae
Source: the annotation of a GenBank genome assembly